AGGAUAUCCAUCCUCUCCAUUGAUUAAACUCUACAAAGAAAAGGUAUGUGUUCUUUCACCCUCCCUCAAUUCAUUUUCAGUUUUAUUUAUUAUAAAUGUAAUUUUGGCGAUUUGAGGGAGUUUAGAAUAAUUCUUGUGCAUAUGGAUUGAUUGUGCUUGUGUUAUGCGAAACUUUGGAAUGAUUCUAAAUCAAAAUUCAUUCAAUUUCCACCAUUUCCACUCUAUGCUUGUAAUGUGUUUGAUAAAUUGCCACAUUGAUAAUUUUUGGGUAUUUUGAUAUAUUUUGCCUUAACUUCAUUUGAUUGAUGGAUGUGUAUGCGUUUGGUGAUUGUUUUUGAAUGGGGAACCAUGUGAACUAGUAAAUUUUUGGCUAGUAUAUGAAGGUCUCACAACGCAUACAACAUGUUCGAUAAAAUGCCAAUCUUGGUACUCUAAUACAUUUAUGAAACUCUAGCAUGGCAUUUGACUAUUCGAUGAAUGGAAUAACUCGUUGUGACGUAUUACCAAACAAUAUGACUUAGACAACAUUAACACACACAUGCACAAAAAAAUAGCUAAGUCAUAGCAUGCCCAUAGCACCCUCCGUCCCUUAUUUUACACUACUGUUUGACACACCAAACGACCUCCGAUUGAGCUGAAAUUUGGGUAUGUGCUAGACCACAUUGCAUACUUCCAUAUGCCCGGAGGUUGCCCGGGACAAUCUUGAUAAUUCUCAAUGUUGCCCGGGGCCGAAGGUGUACACUCAACCAUGACUCCAACCCUUUAACUAUGAGCAUAUUCUCCCAAAAUUUCCUUAUAUUUUCAUGUGGACUAUACAUUUAUACUACUCUAAUCAUCAUACAUUGUUCAUUACACCGUGGUAGUAUACAUGCUUAUUGAAACAAAUUUGGGGGAUUUGUGAUUUACGUGCUUUUCAUUUCAUGCGAUUUCUCAUUGUAUACCAAGAUGGCUAAUGCUAGCUAUUUUCCAACUUUGCAGGAUGCCACCAAAAAGAACUUCAAAAGGGAAGGAGAAUGUUGGCUCAUCAUCCGGCACAGCACGCACUCGCUUGCUUGAAGGAGGUAUACAAAGAUUUUUAACUGUCGAGGCAGCAGCCCGCUAUGAAAACAUAGUGAGUCGAUGGACAUUGACACCAGAACGGGCUGUUAAAUUGGAAGACUUUCCCGGUUUCGAGCUGACUACUUUGGUGCAGAACUGUGGUUGGAAUAAAAUAGUGGAGCAGCCACAUCAGAGUUAUGAAUUGUUGGUGGGGAAAUUUUACGCCAACUUCAAUACUGAAAUUGACACACCAGGGUCCGAUCACCUACAUCAGACUUGGGUCCGAGGAAAAUGGAUCACAUUCCCACCCGAAGUUAUUCAAGACUACUACCUGCUCACGUGGGAAAACAUAACGCCUAUACCAGGUGACUUCAAUUGGCCUGAAGUGGCGGAGAUCUUAUUGGGGCGACAGAAUGCAUGGCCACUCCCCACUACCGAGGGGCAUCAGAUUGAGCUUACACCGUCUAUAGCAAUCCAGUGGCUGUUUAUGUGCCACAACAUUGAGCCUACAUCUCACAGGACCACAUUCACAGAUCCCACAGCUGGAUUCCUUUAUCACUUGGUGCGAGAUAAUAAGGUUGAUCUUGCCACUCUUUGCUAUGAUCAGAUACAUCAUGUGGGUACUUUGGGAGAUAGACACAGCUCAAUGAUCUUCCCAAGCCUCAUCUCCGAAAUUUGCAUAGCUGCUGGUAUAAACAUUGUAUCCAGGGAGAGGGCUGCCAAACGCAACCCCACCAUAAAGCGCAGUACUUUGGAGGCCCAAGAUAGAGCCAGGUUAAAGCAUUGGGAGAAGCAAGAAAUUGAGAGGCGCAGACAGCAGGGAGAGCAAGGUCAUGAGCUAGCAGAGCAAGAAAUGCCUCAAGCUCCUCCAUCACAGGCUGAGUUAAAUGCACAAUUGUGGCGCCAGAUUUUCACCACCACCACGGGGACCAGCCGAGAUGUGCAGAGUCUCCAGCAGGCUAUGGGGACUUUGACGAUUGAGAUGCAUACAGCCCACCGUGACAUCCGCAUUUCCACUGAUAUGUCACGUGCUGCUCGCCAGGAUGCCCAGGCAGCUAGGAGGGAGAUGGACACUAUGAACGGUUGACUCAGUGUGUAUGUGGGCCGGGUGGAUGGCAUCCAGAUGAGGGUAAAUGAAACUUGGGAGCGUUUAGGCCGUUUGGAGACACGUGUUGAGGGAAUCCACGAUGAAAUGACACAGCAGUCAGCACUGAUGAGAUAGAUCUUGGCACGCCUACCUCCACCUCCAACUGAUGAUACUGCAGGAUCUAACUUUCCAUCGCAGCCCCCGUUUUGAUCAGGGGAGUAUCGUUUGCCUCAUUUGUAUUCAUUUUCCUUAAAUUCUGCCUUCUAAACUUAUUUUUCACAUUGUGGACAAUCUCUUGUAUAAGUUUGGGGGAUGGUGGCAUAAUUUGAUUAAGACAUUCGGCAUGUAGCUAAUUGCAUUUCCACAAUCUAGA
RNAcentral lists this long non-coding RNA (2498 nucleotides) under Olea europaea subsp. europaea. The record is from RNAcentral. Lineage: Eukaryota; Viridiplantae; Streptophyta; Magnoliopsida; Lamiales; Oleaceae.